This is a non-coding RNA of Athelia sp. TMB, 85 nucleotides long. The record is from the annotation of a GenBank genome assembly. Lineage: Eukaryota; Fungi; Basidiomycota; Agaricomycetes; Atheliales; Atheliaceae.
GGCUACCUGGCGCAAUGGUAGCGCGUUUGACUUCGAUUGUCUGAUGCGCAUCAAAAGGUUGCAGGUUCGAGUCCUGCGGUGGUCA